CACCGCCUGGGGAGUACGACCGCAAGGUUAAAACUCAAAUGAAUUGACGGGGACCCGCACAAGUAGUGGAGCAUGUGGUUUAAUUCGAAGAUACGCGCAGAACCUUACCAACACUUGACAUGUUCGUCGCGACCUUAAGAGAUUAAGGUUUUCGGUUCGGCCGGACGAAACACAGGUGCUGCAUGGCUGUCGUCAGCUCGUGUCGUGAGAUGUUGGGUUAAGUCCCGCAACGAGCGCAACCCUCACUUUUAGUUGCCAUCAUUUAGUUGGGCACUCUGAAAGAACUGCCAGUGAUAAGCUGGAGGAAGGUGGGGAUGACGUCAAGUCCUCAUGGCCCUUACGUGUUGGGCUACACACGUGCUACAAUGGCAUCUACAAUAGGAAGCAAAAUGGCGACAUUGAGCAAAUCCUAAAAAGAUGCCUCAGUUCGGAUUGCACUCUGCAACUCGAGUGCAUGAAGCUGGAAUUACUAGUAAUCGCGGAUCAGCGCGCCGCGGUGAAUACGUUCCCGGGUCUUGUACACACCGCCCGUCACACCAUGGGAGUUGGUUCUACCUUAAGGCAGAGUUUAAAACCUCUGACCACGGUAUAGUCAGCGACUGGGGUGAAGUCGUAACAAGGUAGCCGUAGGGGAACCUGCGGCUGGAUUACCUCCUUUCUAAGGAUGGUUAAGAAAAAUUUCUUAACCUAAAUAAUUAACAGGUUAAUGUUGACCGUCCUCAUUUCUCUUCUUAAAAGUGUUUCUCUUUACUGAAUAGGGGCCGGUAGCUCAGUUGGUUAGAGCACACCCUUGAUAAGGGUGGGGUCGAAAGUUCGAGUCUUUCUCGGCCCACCAUUUUUUUGGGGGAUUAGCUCAGCUGGGAGAGCGCCUGAUUUGCAUUCAGGAGGUCAGCGGUUCGAUCCCGCUAUCCUCCACCAGAAACACUUAGCUAUUUAAAUUGUGAAUAAAUUAAUAAUAUCAAUAUCUAUAUCCGAUUGUUCGAAAAGAUGAACAAUCAAAAAUGUUCGAAUAGAUGAACAUUUCAACAAAAUUUGAUUCAACACAGAAUUUUUUUCUG
RNAcentral lists this small RNA (1058 nucleotides) under uncultured Pelagibacterales bacterium. RNAcentral's name for it is "bacterial SSU rRNA". The stretch from base 1 to 658 matches the Rfam family "Bacterial small subunit ribosomal RNA", at positions 867 to 1533 of the family's 1533-position model. Lineage: Bacteria; Pseudomonadati; Pseudomonadota; Alphaproteobacteria; Candidatus Pelagibacterales. The record is from RNAcentral.